AGAGUUUGAUCAUGGCUCAGAUUGAACGCUGGCGGCAGGCUUAACACAUGCAAGUCGAGCGGGGAAAGGUAGCUUGCUACUUAACCUAGCGGCGGACGGGUGAGUAAUGCUUAGGAAUCUGCCUAUUAGUGGGGGACAACAUCUCGAAAGGGAUGCUAAUACCGCAUACGUCCUACGGGAGAAAGCAGGGGAUCUUCGGACCUUGCGCUAAUAGAUGAGCCUAAGUCGGAUUAGCUAGUUGGUGGGGUAAAGGCCUACC
RNAcentral lists this ribosomal RNA (259 nucleotides) under uncultured bacterium. RNAcentral's name for it is "partial 16S ribosomal RNA". It matches the Rfam family "Bacterial small subunit ribosomal RNA", at positions 8 to 269 of the family's 1533-position model. The record is from RNAcentral.